This 73-nucleotide transfer RNA is filed under the name Candidatus Woesearchaeota archaeon. RNAcentral's name for it is "tRNA-Thr". It matches the Rfam family "tRNA". From Rfam's summary of the family: Transfer RNA (tRNA) molecules are approximately 80 nucleotides in length. Their secondary structure includes four short double-helical elements and three loops (D, anti-codon, and T loops). The record is from RNAcentral. Lineage: Archaea; Nanobdellati; Candidatus Woesearchaeota.
GCCUCGGUAGCUCAGCUAGCAGAGCAGCAGACUUGUAAUCUGCAGGUCGGGGGUGCAAAUCCCUCCCGGGGCU